RNAcentral lists this transfer RNA (72 nucleotides) under Pangasianodon gigas (Mekong giant catfish). Its description in RNAcentral is "tRNA-Glu". It matches the Rfam family "tRNA". From Rfam's summary of the family: Transfer RNA (tRNA) molecules are approximately 80 nucleotides in length. Their secondary structure includes four short double-helical elements and three loops (D, anti-codon, and T loops). Lineage: Eukaryota; Metazoa; Chordata; Actinopteri; Siluriformes; Pangasiidae. The record is from RNAcentral.
UCCCUGGAGGACUAGUGGUUAGGCCACAGCGCUCUCACUGCUUCAGCCUGGGUUCAAUUCACGGCCAGAGAA